RNAcentral lists this ribosomal RNA (484 nucleotides) under uncultured bacterium. Its description in RNAcentral is "partial 16S ribosomal RNA". It matches the Rfam family "Bacterial small subunit ribosomal RNA", at positions 30 to 507 of the family's 1533-position model. The record is from RNAcentral.
AUUGAACGCUGGCGGCAGGCCUAACACAUGCAAGUCGAGCGGAUGAAGGGAGCUUGCUCCUGGAUUCAGCGGCGGACGGGUGAGUAAUGCCUAGGAAUCUGCCUGGUAGUGGGGGAUAACGUCCGGAAACGGGCGCUAAUACCGCAUACGUCCUGAGGGAGAAAGUGGGGGAUCUUCGGACCUCACGCUAUCAGAUGAGCCUAGGUCGGAUUAGCUAGUUGGUGGGGUAAAGGCCUACCAAGGCGACGAUCCGUAACUGGUCUGAGAGGAUGAUCAGUCACACUGGAACUGAGACACGGUCCAGACUCCUACGGGAGGCAGCAGUGGGGAAUAUUGGACAAUGGGCGAAAGCCUGAUCCAGCAAUGCCGCGUGUGUGAAGAAGGUCUUCGGAUUGUAAAGCACUUUAAGUUGGGAGGAAGGGCAGUAAGUUAAUACCUUGCUGUUUUGACGUUACCAAAAGAAUAAGCACCGGCUAACUUCGUG